AAGACAUUAAGUUAAAUAAACUAGUGGUCUUCAAAACCUCCAAUAACUAUAUUUUGUUAUGUCUUG
This 66-nucleotide transfer RNA is filed under the name Halosydna sp. YZ-2018. RNAcentral's name for it is "tRNA-Trp". The record is from RNAcentral. Lineage: Eukaryota; Metazoa; Annelida; Polychaeta; Phyllodocida; Polynoidae.